GCCGUGGUGGUGAAAUUGGUAGACACGCUAGCUUCAGGAGCUAGUUCCAGCAAGGGAUUGGGAGUUCGAGUCUCCCCCGCGGCA
Molecule: transfer RNA, 84 nt
Filed under: Candidatus Uhrbacteria bacterium
Lineage: Bacteria; Candidatus Uhriibacteriota
Description: tRNA-Leu
Rfam family: tRNA
About the family: Transfer RNA (tRNA) molecules are approximately 80 nucleotides in length.
Source: RNAcentral